This is a long non-coding RNA of Monodelphis domestica (gray short-tailed opossum), 877 nucleotides long. RefSeq lists it as uncharacterized. The record is from RefSeq and is a predicted model, not a curated record. NCBI's taxonomy places the organism in Eukaryota, Metazoa, Chordata, Mammalia, Didelphimorphia, Didelphidae.
ACCCCCCAUUCGCUUCCUUGAUUCAAGUUGCUUCGAAACCGCCCUCCCCUAGCGUUCGGGUCACAAAGACUUUGGAACCUUGGGAAGAGCUCACAAAGUAGUGGAGUGUGUGCUGACAGAAAGGAAAGUGACAAGGCCACGUGAAGAAGUUGAUUAAUGGAAUCAGAAACACAGGAAAAUGGUAAUCAAGGCCUGAACUGGAGUGCUGGCAAUGGGAAGAAACUGGAAGAAGGGAAGGUAAACAGCAUUAUGAGGCUGAGGCUGAGAGACAAUUUAUCCCAAUUCUCCUGUGUGCUCCCUAUCUGUAAAAGUGUUGCCUAGGGUUUCUUCAAUGAAAAUAAAACACCAAUGAUCCUUCUUAUUACCUCCAUCAGCAUAGACAACAUUCUAAUAAUAUAAGUGUUAGAACUGGGAAAAAUCUCUGAUGAUAUCUGGUUCAAUUCUCAUUUUACAAAUAAGGAAACUGAGGCCCACAAAGGGAAGGAAGGUCAUAUUUGUAAAGCUGGAAGCAAUCUUAAAGGAACCUCUUUUUGAUUUGCCAAAGAUCAGUUUGGGUGACUAAGUGGAUAGAGCAAAGACCUGAAGUCAGGGGGACUCAUCUUUAUAGUUCAAAUCUGACUUCAGACACUAGAUUUCCUGAGUGAGUCACUUAACACUGUUUGCCUCUAUUUCUUAACUGUAAAAUGAGCUAGAAAAAGAAAUGGCAAAUCACACCAGUAGUAUCUUUGUCAAGAAAAACCCAAAUGGGAUCACAAAGAGUCCAGAUGUGACUGAACAACAACAGAGUGAAUCCUGAAUCCUUUUAUAGGAGAUCCUUGAGGUAAAAAAUAUUUCCAUAAUAAUACUAAGAAAUAAAACAUUGUAUCAACAUUAAAAA